UCACAAACAAUAAUAAUGUUUUUAUUUAAUGAAUCGAAGAUAAAAAUUUAUUACAUAUUUUUAUGUAUUAGUUACAAAUAUUUGCACUGUAUUUUUUUUAAUAUUUGUUCUGGACUAUCCAAAAGAUUAUGUUCGACGGUCCUACAUUGAGCAUAAGCUCAAUCUUAAAGAGGGUCAAACAUUUCUUUGGCUCAAUAAACUUUAUACUAAACAUAAGCCUAAUUCUAGGAAGGCCAAAAAAUAGCACACACGCAUCUUCAUCAAAGGACUCUUUUGUCCUGCUCCUUGAUGGUCAAAAGCUUAGGAUUCCCCAUAAUAUGUAAUGAUUUCGACCAUCUAUGUCUACCAACGUUUGACAGUUAUAAAUCUGAUGAUCGUAACAACUUCUCAACAUUUGCCUUAAGUGGUUAAGUUCGACGAUUGUAUAAAAAGAAAGGGACUCUAAAUCAUCCCUCACAAAGGACAUUAUUUAUGUAGAAAACCACUCAUUCUAUACCCUCUUACUACUUGAGUGUUUGAGUCUUUGCACGUACCCCCAUAAUUGCUUCAACAUCGUAACAACAAAUCAGACGUCGUCCUCCUAAUCAGGUCAGAUCAUCGGUGUUGUAUGCGGGAAAGGCCAAAACCUUCACUAAUCUAAAAGUGUGAUACCCCAUACGAAUUCUACCAUGAUCAUUUCUAACUGUUCUAAUAGAAAAAUAUUUUGCACUUUACACUAGACUGAAAAUACAUGUACGAUUUAUCCUUGUUUGGUUUAAAAUUCAUCUUAAUAUCAUCGAACCUCAUCCCUUAAUAAAAAAAAAUCAUCGACUAUCAUGGUUUAGAAUAAUUCUGUAUAAAU
RNAcentral lists this long non-coding RNA (841 nucleotides) under Medicago truncatula (barrel medic). Its description in RNAcentral is "long non-coding RNA (MTRU_LNC000673)". Lineage: Eukaryota; Viridiplantae; Streptophyta; Magnoliopsida; Fabales; Fabaceae. The record is from RNAcentral.